This is a long non-coding RNA of Zea mays, 590 nucleotides long. RefSeq lists it as uncharacterized. NCBI's taxonomy places the organism in Eukaryota, Viridiplantae, Streptophyta, Magnoliopsida, Poales, Poaceae. The transcript is spliced from 2 exons. The record is from RefSeq and is a predicted model, not a curated record.
AUGGAUGUACUUGCUUUUUUGUAUAAAGGAUUGAGGGAGAGGAAGCAAAAAUGACUGCAUGGGAGAAUAUGCAGAAAGCUGAAGCAAAAGCAGCCAUACAAAAGCUUGUGAUAAAACUUGAAAAGAAAAGGCCAUACUCGCUGGAGAGGAUUUUCAACACCCUCAGGUCUGGCUCUCGGAAGACAUAGGUGGUACGCAGUACAUCAACCGCAAAUCAGGAUCAGCAUAUUUCCAGAACUAUCAAAAUGGCGCCAAACCUCAGCAAGAACGGUCAAAUGAGUUCAUUGAGUGGAUGCUUCACAUGUCAUGCUUUCUAGAGAUGUAGCUCCAUGGAAAACACAGGUGGUCCAUGCACACUUAACAAUAGUUUCCUUGUUUUCAGGCACUAUUGUUAGUUUAAAGUGUAGAGGAAAAAAACAGAUCCUUGUCAGUAACCAACUAGGGACUGAAUCCCCCCUCCCCUAUUCCAAUGGUCAAUCUAUAGCAUGGAUCAUAAUCUGGAUUGUCCUUAAGUUUUUAUUGUGCUAGGGGAACAUAAGAAAGUAUGUAGAGCAAAAUGAGAGGAGCUGUUGUUACCCUCAAUUCUUUGU